GACGAACGCUGGCGGCGUGCUUAACACAUGCAAGUCGAACGGUAAGGCCCCUUCGGGGGUACACGAGUGGCGAACGGGUGAGUAACACGUGAGCAACCUGCCCUUGACUCUGGGAUAACAGUUGGAAACAGCUGCUAAUACUGGAUAUUCAUCGUCUCCUUCCUGGGGGGUGGUGGAAAGCUCCGGCGGUCAGGGAUGGGCUCGCGGCCUAUCAGCUUGUUGGUGAGGUAAUGGCUCACCAAGGCUU
Molecule: ribosomal RNA, 247 nt
Filed under: uncultured Actinomycetes bacterium
Lineage: Bacteria; Bacillati; Actinomycetota; Actinomycetes
Description: uncultured actinobacterium partial 16S ribosomal RNA
Rfam family: Bacterial small subunit ribosomal RNA
Source: RNAcentral